CUAACAAGGAUUCCCCUAGUAACUGCGAGUGAAGCGGGAAAAGCUCAAAUUUAAAAUCUGAUAGUCUUAGGCUGUCCGAGUUGUAAUCUAGAGAAGUGUUAUCCGCGCUGGACCGUGUACAAGUCUCCUGGAAUGGAGCGUCAUAGAGGGUGAGAAUCCCGUCUUUGACACGGACUACCAGGGCUUUGUGAUGCGCUCUCAAAGAGUCGAGUUGUUUGGGAAUGCAGCUCAAAAUGGGUGGUAAAUUCCAUCUAAAGCUAAAUAUUGGCGAGAGACCGAUAGCGAACAAGUACCGUGAGGGAAAGAUGAAAAGAACUUUGGAAAGAGAGUUAAACAGUACGUGAAAUUGCUGAAAGGGAAACGCUUGAAGUCAGUCGCGUUGACCAGGGAUCAACCUUGCUCUUGCUGGGUGUACUUUCUGGUUAACGGGUCAACAUCAAUUUUGAUUGUUGGAAAAAGAUCAAGGGAAUGUAGCAUCUUCGGAUGUGUUAUAGCCUUUGGUUAUAUACAACAAUUGGGAUUGAGGAACUCAGCACGCCGAAAGGUCGGGUUUUUAACCACGUUCGUGCUUAGGAUGUUGGCAUAAUGGCUUUAAUCGACCCGUCUUGAAACACGGACCAAGGAGUCUAACAUGCCUGCGAGUGUUUGGGUGGAAAACCCGAGCGCGUAAUGAAAGUGAAAGUUGAGAUCCCUGUCGCGGGGAGCAUCGACGCCCGGACCAGAAAUUUAUGGACGGUUCCGCGGUAGAGCAUGUAUGUUGGGACCCGAAAGAUGGUGAACUAUGCCUGAAUAGGGUGAAGCCAGAGGAAACUCUGGUGGAGGCUCGUAGCGAUUCUGACGUGCAAAUCGAUCGUCAAAUUUGGGUAUAGGGGCGAAAGACUAAUCGAAC
RNAcentral lists this ribosomal RNA (889 nucleotides) under Cystoderma amianthinum. RNAcentral's name for it is "partial large subunit ribosomal RNA". It matches the Rfam family "Eukaryotic large subunit ribosomal RNA", at positions 65 to 940 of the family's 3401-position model. The record is from RNAcentral. Lineage: Eukaryota; Fungi; Basidiomycota; Agaricomycetes; Agaricales; Squamanitaceae.